RNAcentral lists this ribosomal RNA (594 nucleotides) under Triticum aestivum (bread wheat). Its description in RNAcentral is "partial small subunit ribosomal RNA". The record is from RNAcentral. Lineage: Eukaryota; Viridiplantae; Streptophyta; Magnoliopsida; Poales; Poaceae.
AUGGCUCCCCCGAAAGGACGCGCCAUGGUACACUCUGUCGGCCUCGUCGUCGUCCUCCUCGCCGCGUCCGCCGUCGUGGCGCUCGCCGCCCAGGCUCCGGCUCCGGCGGCCUCCGCGAAGUCCGGUUCAGCUGCAGCACCCCCAAAGGCCUCGGCAAAGGCUCCGGCUGCGGUCCCCGAAAAGAGCGCGAAAGCUUCAACGGCGGCGGCCGCAACGUCCACGGCUACACCCAAGGCUGCACCGCCCAAGGCGCCCGCGAAGGGGUCUGGCGCCGAGUCGCCGAGCAAAGGCGCCAUGCCGUCCAAGGCCCCGGCCAGCUCGUCCGAAGCCGAAGCCGCCGAGUCUCCAGACGGCGGCGCCACCGACGAGGAUGAUUCAUCCGCCGCGACGCCGUCUUCCUCGUUGUCGGACGAUGACUCCGACGACUCCGACAGCCCGCCAGGGCCCGCCAGCUCGCCAGACUCAGACUCGCCAGCUGACUCGCCUGACCCCGCCGCAGACGACGAGGAGAGCGGCAGCGUCGGCGUGAGGAGUGGCGUGGUGGCUUCCGUCGUGGCCGUGGCCACCUCAGCCUCCGUCGUGCUUUUAUUUUAG